UCCCUUAAAAAUACGGACAUCACGACAGGCAGUUAUAAGAAAGGUCAAUACCGAUAUAAACCACACAAUCCAAACCAUCCUAGCUCCAUAAAUCCCACGUGAAAAAUAAGAAUCAGAACCUUAAAUGACCUUUACAAGUUCUAUGCAAAACUUAUGCUGAGCAAAAAUUAUAGUCUAAAACUAAUUUCAAUUGUGUGCAAUAAUAAUGUGUAGUCCAAGGGUGCUACUCCCACCCCAUGCCGAUCGAUGUCAUUAGGUACCUAAAAACCAAAUUAAACAUAAGAGUGAGUAAAGAAUACUCAGCAAGUACAAUCUUGAACUAGUAAAACAUACGCAUGAUUUAUGCAUUAAGAAACCAACAUGAAGGGUUGGAUUUACUUUAUUUUUAAACCAAAGAAGUCAAAAGAUAGUAGUUCCCUCCCGGGCAGGUGUGAAUAUCCUCUUAGCAUUACCGGUAAGCCAAGCAAGCGUAAUCAGCGCUUCACAAGGAUCAUGAAUAAAGAUCCAAAUUGCACUCCCAUAGCUACGCAUGGUUCUUGAAUAAUGUAAACAGAACAUCCGGAAUAAUGAAACAUGAAUAACGUCAUGAAUUUGAAUAUGGGUCGAAACACGAAUAAAUAGCAUAACGUCAUAGCCAUACAAUCAGUAAUAACAAGCAAUUGAAUAAUAAUUAUGCAAGUAAAGCCAAACAAAACAACUCAGUUUUGUCCAUCACAUAAGUCCGUCUUGUACUUACUUUAACUCAUUCGAUACUCCGACUCAACUCCUCCAACGUUGGAACCCUCCACACCUGUGGAGCAAAACUACGCAUAAACCACUAUAUUCAACUAACGAUGGUUACAAGGGAUAUUUACUAAAAUCGAAACCUAGAACAUAUAAACCUUUUACCGAUUUAUAUUAAAUAACCUAUAGCUGUUCCAUUACUGUUUUAUGAGUAACUCACAAACCGUCUAACGGAAACUAGCAAAUAAUACAACUUCGGACAUCUAGACAAAAUUGUCUACAACUUUCAUGUUGAGCACAAAAUCAGAUUAUGCCUCUGAAAAUCCCAGAUUAAGGAAAAACGAACUGCUGUCCUGAUUUCCGGACCCGGUCAGCAGUACUGUUUUUGCUGUUUCUCCUAAACCGUUUAUCGGAAUCGAGUGAAACUAGCACCGUUGGAAAGAUAUUGACAAUGACUACAAACUUUAUUUAGGACAACUAACCUGAUUCCUGAUGGUUUAAUACCAGAUUUGAAAAUACGGUUUCAGCCUAGCGUUCGAUAUAAAAUAAAUUCGAAAAAACCGGAAACAGAUCGUCUUGAAUAUAAAUUAGAAACAACUAUAGACUAAAACGGAUUACCUAGCAGUACUAAUGUAUAAGAAAAACGAAGAAUUUGGAAAUAUUCACCAAAUUCCCCAAAUUUCCCUUCUUCUAUCAAAUUUCCCCUUCUUUCCCUCCUUCCUGUUCUUCUCUGCCUUCUCUCCCUCCUUCCUGUUCGUUGCAGGCCAACAGCAGCAGCAGCAGAAACGAAUAUCGGCAGCAACAGCAAGCCGUGCACCACCAGCAAGGAAGAGAUCAGAUCGGCAACAGCAGGGUUCGGCAGCAGCAGGGAAAUUAACAGAAACAACAGUAGCUCACAAACGACCGGCUGCGGACGACGACGGCUGUGGCGACCGGCGACGGCUGCACCAGCGGCGGCACCGGCGAAGAGAGGAACAGCAGCGGCGGCGGCAGAGUGCAGGAGGUGCGGCGGCUAGGGCUACAGGAGAAUCGCUCCUGUUUCUUUUUUUUCGUUUGUUUUUUUUGGUUGGUUAUAUAAAGAGACUAAAUAAGAUCUAACGGCUCACAUCUAUUCAAUCCUCGGGACUUCGUUCGGACUCCGAUUACUAUAAAUUUAUAGUCUAUUUUGCACUACUCGGCGAGCUCUACGCAUCCACGGUUCCCGAUCGCCUAUACGAACAAUGGUUUAAAAGUUGAACUUUUGCGCGUUUGCUCUAAUAUUCCGCGAGAUAUAUUAAUUUAAAACUCGGGGUAUUACAUUCUUCCCCCCUUCGAUCGAAUUCGCCCUCGAAUUCGCCCAAUCAUACUCUAGAACACGGGAUAUUACAUUCCUCCCUCCUUCAAUCGAAUUCGCCCUCGAAUUCGUCCAGUUAUACCUCGGACAAGUAUAGAAAGGAACUCAUAGGUAGGACUUAUAUAACUCACCAGACGUGAAUAACUCUGGAUACUUCUCCCGCAUCUGUGACUCAAGUUCCCAUGUGGCCUCUCGCUCGGUCUGGUGCGUCCAGAGAACCUUGACAUACUUGAUAGUUCUAUGCCUGAGCACCCUCUCAGAUUCCUCCAAUAUUCUUACAGGAUGAGACUCAAAUGUCAAAUCUUGCUCAAUGGUCAUCGGCUCUACGGUAAUAUGAUGUUCAGGGUCUCUCAAAUAUUUUCUCAACAUGGAAAUAUGGAAUACAUAAUGUACACCUUUCAUGGACUCUGGUAACUCAAGGCGAUACGCUAGGAUUCCAACUCUUUCCACUAUCGAGAAUGGACCAAUAUACCUAGGGCUGAGUUUGCCUUUCGUUCCAAAUCUCACAACACCUUUGGUUGGAGAUACCUUUAGAAGUACUUGAUCGCCCACUUCAAACUCUAAUUCUCGUCUUCUGACAUCGGCGUAGCUCUUCUGCCUACUUUGAGCUGCAAGCAUGUGUUGUCGUAUUUCUGCUAUCCGUUCUGUGGUCUGUUGUACCCAACCGGGUCCUAAAAUAGCUCUCUCCCCUAUGGAAUCCCAACACAAUGGGGAUCGACACUUUCUUCCAUAAAGUGCCUCAUAUGGUGCCAUUUGAAUGCUAGCAUGGAAACUAUUGUUGUAAGAAAAUUCUACAAGCGGCAAAUGAUCCUCCCAACUGCCUUUCCAUGAAAGGAUACAUGAUCUCAACAUAUCCUCUAAAGUUUGAAUAGUCCGCUCAGAUUGACCAUCAGUCUGAGGGUGAAAAGCCGUACUGAAUUUCAAUUGAGUAUCAAAUGCCUCUUGCACAGAUUCCCAGAACUUAGAAGAAAACUUAGCAUCCCUAUCAGAAACAAUCGAGCGAGGCACACCAUGUAACCUCACUACCUCGCGUGUAUAGAUCGGUGCCAAGUCACUCGCAGAAUAAGUGGUGCGGAUAGAAAUGAAAUGUGCCACCUUACUCAGACGAUCUACAACCACCCAGAUGGCGUCCUUUCCUCGUGGAGUUCGAGGUAGCCCAACCACGAAAUCCAUAGCAAUAUCAUCCCAAGGCCAUACAGGAACUUCCAAUGAUUGCAACUUUCCAGCAGGACUCUUAUGUUCAGCCUUUACUCGCUGACAUACCCCACAUGACGCCACGUACUUGGCCACAUCCACUUUCAUCCUCUUCCACCAAUAGAUCUUCUUCAGAUCAUGAUACAUCUUGUUCUCCCCAGGAUGCACAGUAUAUGGUGUUCGGUGUGCUUCUCGCAAAAUCUCUUCCUUGACUUUAGCUUUUUGUGGAACACAUAAACGCCCAUGGAAUCGCACAGCUCCCGAGGAAUCCAAAGUGAAAUCUCCAGUUUUUCCUUCCUUUACACGUUUCUUAACUUGUUGCAGCAACCGAUCGUGUUGUUGGGCCUCUAGCACUCGUUGGGGUAUGGCGGACUCAAGAAUGACUCGUGACUCGGUACUUGCCACUCCAACAUAACAAUAGGAGAUAUCCAUCCGUUCAAAAUCAGUUAUCAAACAACUCAUAGUUGGAGGAACGACCUUACGGCUUAGAGCAUCUGCAACCACAUUCGCCUUACCCGGUGUGUAUUGAACGUUAAGAUCAUAGUCUUUAAUCAACUCUAGCCACCUCCUCUGCCUUAAGUUCAAAUCCUUCUGAGUGAAGAUAUAUUUCAGACUCUUAUGAUCAGUGAAAAUAUCACAAGAUUCUCCAUACAGGUAGUGCCUCCAAAUUUUGAGAGCAAAGACCACUGCUGCAAGCUCAAGAUCAUGAGUGGGGUAAUUCUGCUCAUGCUUCUUUAACUGCCUAGAUGCAUAAGCUAUAACAUUGCCCUCUUGCAUAAGAACACAACCAAGGCCUACUCGUGAAGCAUCGGAAUAGACAGUGAAACGUUUACCAGGUUGGGGCAAAGUAAGCACCGGAGCAGUUACUAGCCUCUGCUUCAAUUGUUGGAAACUACACUCGCAUUGGUCCGUCCACUGAAACUUCACAUCCUUAUGUGUGAGCAUCGUCAUAGGUUUAGUGAUAAUCGAGAAAUCCUUCACAAAGCGUCGGUAGUACCCCGCCAUACCCAAAAAACUCCUCACAUCCUUAACAUUAGUCGGCCUUUCCCAUCCGACAACACUUAAAACUUUGCUUGGAUCAACCGAGAUAUCUUGCUGAUUAAUUACAUGCCCUAGGAAAGCCACUUCAGGAAGCCAGAACUCACACUUCUUCAGUUUAGCAUAGAACUUGUUUUCUCGUAGGGUCUCUAGUACCAUCCUCAGAUGACGCUCAUGCUCCUCUACAUCUUUGGAGUAAAUCAGAAUAUCAUCAAUAAACACCACCACGAAAUUAUCUAGAAAACUAUGCAACAUGCUAUUCAUCGCCUCCAUAAAAUAGGCCGGAGCAUUGGUCAGCCCAAAGGACAUUACUCUAUACUCAUAAUGCCCAUACCUCGUGGAAAAUGCAGUCUUCUCAAUAUCCUCUUCUCGCACUCGAAUUUGGUUAUAACCAGAUUGCAAGUCAAUUUUAGAGAACACCUUCGCUCCCUUUAACUGAUCAAACAAAUCUUCACUACGAGGCAAUGGGUACUUGUUCUUGAUUGUCGCAGCAUUUAAGGCCCGAUAGUCCACACACAUACGCCAACUUCCAUCCUUCUUCUCAGUAAAAAUAACAGGUGCGCCCCAUGGCGACACACUCCGUCGGAUUAACUUCUUAGAUAAUAGAUCAUCUAAUUGUUUCUUCAACUCUUCUUGGAAAGGACGAGCUAACCGGUACGGGGCUCUGGAGAUAGGUUGUGUUCCAGGAACAAGAUCAAUACGGAACUCUACAUCACGCUCAGGUGGCAUCCCUGGCAAUUCUGCGGGAAAAACAUCAGGAUAAUCUCGCACUACAGGAACAUCUUCAAUCACUAAAGGCUUGGAUGACUUCUCGGCUAAGGCCCAUAAUAACCCCGUCUUUACAGCACGCUGCCCAGGAAAUAACCUUGACAUCACGAAAAGAGAAUGCGGAGGCGCGCUCCCUUGGAAAACCAUCUCCUCGCCUGAUGGAGCUUCCAAGGUAAUAGUCUUCCAGAAACAAGAGAUUACAGCAUGAUAUCGGUUCAACCAAUCCAUGCCCAAGAUCACAUCAAAGAGCGGUAAGGGAAUCACAAUUAGAUUUGCCACAAAUUCCUCCCCAUCAAUAGAGAUUGCACAACCUGGACAUACUACUGAACUAGAGAUUAUACCCCCUGGAGAGCUGACUUGGACAGAUCGAGAGACCUCUUGACUAAAUAGAUUAGCUCUUUUCGCAAACUCGAUUGAAACAAAGCAAAAUGUAGCACCAGAAUCAAACAGAACUAGGGCAUCAUGCGAAUCAACUGAAAGUGUACCUGUAACGACAUCCGGGCGACCAAGGGAUGAAGCUACAGGCAUGUUGUAGACUCCAGCCAUAGCUGGGGUAGUAGAGGCUGAGACCUGCUGGUGAGGUGGAGCUGAAGCAGAAGGAUGCGCCAUAGGCGGUGCAGGCAACUGGAGUGGAGCACGUGGAGCAAAAGAUUGAGGCAUGGGCCAAUACUGUCCUGGUAAUGGUGGUGGUGGGUAAUUAUGUGUGAACUGCUGGUAAGGAAGUGGAUAAGUUGUCAUCAUCUGAACGGCACCACGGGGAGUACUAGUGGAUGAACCUGAACCUCGAGGAUAGCUAGCUGUCGAAGAGGUUGCUGAAUAGGAGCUCGGCUUUUGCCACUUGAUGAUAGAAUUUGGGUUACGCUUACAUACCAACUCCAUGUGUCCAGCUUUGCCACACCCACGACAUGCCCCAGUAAACCCACACUCUGCUGAAUGGUGAUUCUUUCCACACUUAAAGCAAAUUAGUCCUUGCCCUGGCACAGGGCGAAUCAACUGAGACUCCGUUGGACGUGAAGCUGCAUUAGGCUGAGAACCCCACUGCCUAGGUUUAGAUGAUGGUUGAGUGACCUGAUUUUGUUUGUACUUCUUGAAAUGUGGUCGCUGCGAGUUCUCACCCCCUUCCUAAUGAGCUCUCUUCUGCUCAUUACCAGUGACAUUACCAGAACGAUUCUUCUGCGCAGUAGUAAUUUGGAGCUCAACCUCCAUCCCUCGAGCCUCCUCAACUGCAUUGAGGUAUAUGGUAGGCAGGUUUCUUCCCAUCACUUCUCUAUACCGAGCAUUGAGCCCUCGAAAGAACUUCCUAGCCUUCUCACGCUCAUCACUUGCCACGCUAGGCACAAAGCGUACAAUACUGCUGAACUCCCGUUCAUACUCAUCAACGGUCUUGCUUCCCUGUUGGAUAUUGUUUAACUCAUCACUCAUCUUGUCCCUAAAUGAUUAUGGAUAAUACUUAGCUCUGAACUGCUGAAGAAAAACUUCCCAAGUAAUAGCACCACGAUCAGGGUUCCACGCUUCAACAACUCCAUCCCACCAAAUGUCCGCCUGACCAGUCAACUAAAAAGGCAUGAAAGUAACCUUCUCCUCAGGAGUCAUUCUAGAUCCCCUCAUAUACUUCUCCAUCUUGCGUAACCAGUCUGCAGCAUUAACGGGAGUACCAGACCCAUCAAAUGUGUCUAAGCGCAUGGAUGUCCAUCUAGUGAGUGUCAUCCCCUGAGCAGCUCGAGGAGCAUCAUCAGAGACAGCAGCUGAGUGGCUACCACCCUCCUCCUCUUCCAUGUGCUCAUCCUCCAUCUGGUUCGAGGAUGCUGCCUCAUUAUGGCGACCUCUACCACGACCUCUUCCACGGCCUCCAGCACGGCCCCUACCACGACCUCCACGAUUAGGAAUAGGGGAUUCAGCAACCGAGUUGUUCCCAACCUCUUCAUUAUCCUGAGUAUUUUCAACUUCUUCAUUAUGGUGGCCCCUACCACGACCUCUACCUCCGCCUCUCCCGCGGCCUCUGUUAGCCAACCGAACACUCACUCUAGGUGGCAUAGCUAUAUCAAACACAAGCAUUUAUACGUCAUUAGUUUAACAAUAGGUUAGACAAUGGCAUGCAAGGAAACACAAUCAUACACAUAUAUAUGCAGCAGAAACAUAAAUGCUAGGAAUGACCCAUGCUCCCAUUCCUAUUGUGCACCAGUGUGUCAAGUUCUUUUAGAUGUUUAUAUAUAACCCAAGUUCUACUCUUAUUAUUUCCUACCCUAAGAGAAAGUAUUUUUUUUAAUUGGUUAGGAACUCUAGUUCAAAAUUUUAUGUUGAUUUAUAUAUCUCAUUACCCAGUCACUUCCCAUGGACCUACCGCCCGCUCUGAUACCAACUGUAACACCCCAGGUAACCACGUACAUAGAAUGCCACACCAAAAUACACUCAAAAACUAAGUCCUAAAAUUAUUAGAAAUUUCGGCAGAGUCACCCCUAAAAAUACGGACAUCACGACAGGCAGUUAUAAGAAAGGUCAAUACCGAUAUAAACCACACAAUCCAAACCAUCCUAGCUCCACAAAUCCCAUGUGAAAAAUAAGGAUCAGAACCUUAAAUGACCUUUACAAGUUCUAUGCAAAACUUAUGCUGAGCAAAAAUUAUAGUCUAAAACUAAUUUCAAUUGUGUGCAAUAAUAAUGUGUAGUCCAAGGGUGCUACUCCCGCCCCAUGCCGAUCGAUGUCAUU
RNAcentral lists this long non-coding RNA (7762 nucleotides) under Oryza sativa (Asian cultivated rice). RNAcentral's name for it is "long non-coding RNA (OSAT_LNC000297)". The record is from RNAcentral. Lineage: Eukaryota; Viridiplantae; Streptophyta; Magnoliopsida; Poales; Poaceae.